This is a long non-coding RNA of Apis florea (little honeybee), 407 nucleotides long. The record is from RefSeq and is a predicted model, not a curated record. Lineage: Eukaryota; Metazoa; Arthropoda; Insecta; Hymenoptera; Apidae.
AUUUUGGAUCUAAUAUUAUGUUGAUUGAAAAGAAUCCAUAAGGCAAAGGAUUAACGAAAAGGGUGCGUUCGAACGCCGAAGAAGCAUAUAUGUCCUUGCGCUUAUUUGUCUAAUUUUUUUUUUAGCGAAGACACGUUACAAGCUCGAAAGUAUCCAGAACGAUUUCCCAAUUUUUUUUUCCCCCGAAAAAAAUUCUACGUGCUGAAUUCACGUCGAUAAUUUGACAUUUAUAACAUUUAUAAUUGAAAAUCAUAGAAUUUUCAAACAUUUUCAAAUCCUGAUUCAUCACAAGAUUUUGUUUAUUAUUAUUUCGAGAACGUUUGCACCAUUUUUUCUCCGGAUAAAUAUGAACUUUACGUGCAGAAUUUUCCCCUUAUCUUGUUUUUGUGAAAAGGAAAAAAGAAAAA